GUCUCCCAUCACUCGCAAACUCUUCCACUUGUUCCUUGCGACUCCAAUGCCGCAUCUAGUGGUCGAAACCGUCCUCGAGAGAGGGCCAUCGAUACCUGUCUAGUAUCGGUUCCCUAUUGUUGUCAAAGAACAUGUCACGGCCGUCCCAUUUCUACCACCGACUAUCUAGCAAAUCGAUACCGUCGGGUCCGGCGCGGAGAACGUCGAUAUAUUGAGAAACGAGUUCGUCCGGACAAGGGAACUCCGCGGUAAAGAGUUACUUGAGUCCAAGAACUCGCCAGAUGAGCAGACCCAAAGACC
This 300-nucleotide small RNA is filed under the name Histoplasma capsulatum. Its description in RNAcentral is "hypothetical RNA". Lineage: Eukaryota; Fungi; Ascomycota; Eurotiomycetes; Onygenales; Ajellomycetaceae. The record is from RNAcentral. RNAcentral also lists the same sequence under 1 other name.